RNAcentral lists this ribosomal RNA (250 nucleotides) under uncultured bacterium. RNAcentral's name for it is "partial 16S ribosomal RNA". It matches the Rfam family "Bacterial small subunit ribosomal RNA", at positions 355 to 602 of the family's 1533-position model. The record is from RNAcentral.
UAAGGAAUAUUGGUCAAUGGACGAAAGUCUGAACCAGCCAUGCCGCGUGGAGGAUGAAGGUCCUCUGGAUUGUAAACUUCUUUUAUCUGGGACGAAAACGGGCCUUUCCAGGCCAACUGACGGUACCAGAUGAAUAAGCACCGGCUAACUCCGUGCCAGCAGCCGCGGUAAUACGGAGGGUGCAAGCGUUAUCCGGAUUCACUGGGUUUAAAGGGUGCGUAGGUGGACAGGUAAGUCAGUGGUGAAAUCU